GGGUAUAUAGCUCAGUGGUAGAGUAUGCACUUAGUAUGCACAAGGCCCUGGGUUCAACCCCUGAUAUCUCCA
This 72-nucleotide transfer RNA is filed under the name Camelus bactrianus (Bactrian camel). It matches the Rfam family "tRNA". From Rfam's summary of the family: Transfer RNA (tRNA) molecules are approximately 80 nucleotides in length. Lineage: Eukaryota; Metazoa; Chordata; Mammalia; Artiodactyla; Camelidae. The record is from Rfam by way of RNAcentral. RNAcentral also lists the same sequence under 1 other name.